This 1789-nucleotide ribosomal RNA is filed under the name Pediococcus pentosaceus. RNAcentral's name for it is "bacterial SSU rRNA". The stretch from base 1 to 1527 matches the Rfam family "Bacterial small subunit ribosomal RNA". The record is from RNAcentral. Lineage: Bacteria; Bacillati; Bacillota; Bacilli; Lactobacillales; Lactobacillaceae.
CUAUACUGCAAGUCGAACGAACUUCCGUUAAUUGAUUAUGACGUACUUGUACUGAUUGAGAUUUUAACACGAAGUGAGUGGCGAACGGGUGAGUAACACGUGGGUAACCUGCCCAGAAGUAGGGGAUAACACCUGGAAACAGAUGCUAAUACCGUAUAACAGAGAAAACCGCAUGGUUUUCUUUUAAAAGAUGGCUCUGCUAUCACUUCUGGAUGGACCCGCGGCGUAUUAGCUAGUUGGUGAGGUAAAGGCUCACCAAGGCAGUGAUACGUAGCCGACCUGAGAGGGUAAUCGGCCACAUUGGGACUGAGACACGGCCCAGACUCCUACGGGAGGCAGCAGUAGGGAAUCUUCCACAAUGGACGCAAGUCUGAUGGAGCAACGCCGCGUGAGUGAAGAAGGGUUUCGGCUCGUAAAGCUCUGUUGUUAAAGAAGAACGUGGGUAAGAGUAACUGUUUACCCAGUGACGGUAUUUAACCAGAAAGCCACGGCUAACUACGUGCCAGCAGCCGCGGUAAUACGUAGGUGGCAAGCGUUAUCCGGAUUUAUUGGGCGUAAAGCGAGCGCAGGCGGUCUUUUAAGUCUAAUGUGAAAGCCUUCGGCUCAACCGAAGAAGUGCAUUGGAAACUGGGAGACUUGAGUGCAGAAGAGGACAGUGGAACUCCAUGUGUAGCGGUGAAAUGCGUAGAUAUAUGGAAGAACACCAGUGGCGAAGGCGGCUGUCUGGUCUGCAACUGACGCUGAGGCUCGAAAGCAUGGGUAGCGAACAGGAUUAGAUACCCUGGUAGUCCAUGCCGUAAACGAUGAUUACUAAGUGUUGGAGGGUUUCCGCCCUUCAGUGCUGCAGCUAACGCAUUAAGUAAUCCGCCUGGGGAGUACGACCGCAAGGUUGAAACUCAAAAGAAUUGACGGGGCCCGCACAAGCGGUGGAGCAUGUGGUUUAAUUCGAAGCUACGCGAAGAACCUUACCAGGUCUUGACAUCUUCUGACAGUCUAAGAGAUUAGAGGUUCCCUUCGGGGACAGAAUGACAGGUGGUGCAUGGUUGUCGUCAGCUCGUGUCGUGAGAUGUUGGGUUAAGUCCCGCAACGAGCGCAACCCUUAUUACUAGUUGCCAGCAUUAAGUUGGGCACUCUAGUGAGACUGCCGGUGACAAACCGGAGGAAGGUGGGGACGACGUCAAAUCAUCAUGCCCCUUAUGACCUGGGCUACACACGUGCUACAAUGGAUGGUACAACGAGUCGCGAGACCGCGAGGUUAAGCUAAUCUCUUAAAACCAUUCUCAGUUCGGACUGUAGGCUGCAACUCGCCUACACGAAGUCGGAAUCGCUAGUAAUCGCGGAUCAGCAUGCCGCGGUGAAUACGUUCCCGGGCCUUGUACACACCGCCCGUCACACCAUGAGAGUUUGUAACACCCAAAGCCGGUGGGGUAACCUUUUAGGAGCUAGCCGUCUAAGGUGGGACAGAUGAUUAGGGUGAAGUCGUAACAAGGUAGCCGUAGGAGAACCUGCGGCUGGAUCACCUCCUUUCUAAGGAAUAAACGGAAACCCACACUAUGUCAAAGUUUUGUUUAGUUUUGAGAGGUUUACUCUCAAUUUUGUUCUUUGAAAACUGAAUAAUAUCUAUAAUUUUCUAAUUUUAAUUGUUAAUCAUAAUUAAACCGAGAGAAAACCGCGUAAUUUAAAGAGUUAUAAAACAAGAUUAGUUCAAAGAUUAAUCGCUAAACUCAAUUAAUCACUUUACCGUAGGUAAAGAUAGGUUAAGUUAGGAAGGGCGCAUGGUGAAUGCCUU